This 31-nucleotide ribosomal RNA is filed under the name Pleurotus eryngii. Its description in RNAcentral is "partial 18S ribosomal RNA". The record is from RNAcentral. Lineage: Eukaryota; Fungi; Basidiomycota; Agaricomycetes; Agaricales; Pleurotaceae.
UUUCCCCCGGUGGAGGGUGCUGCGGAAGGAU